CGAAGCCUACGGGGGGCAGCAGUGGGGAAUAUUGCACAAUGGGGGAAACCCUGAUGCAGCGACGCCGCGUGAAGGAAGAAGUAUUUCGGUAUGUAAACUUCUAUCAGCAGGGAAGAGAAUGACGGUACCUGACUAAGAAGCCCCGGCUAACUACGUGCCAGCAGCCGCGGUAAUACGUAGGGGGCAAGCGUUAUCCGGAUUUACUGGGUGUAAAGGGAGCGUAGACGGCUGGCCAAGUCUGAAGUGAAAGCCCGGGGCUUAACCCCGGAACGGCUUUGGAAACUGGCCGGCUGGAGUGCUGGAGA
This 305-nucleotide ribosomal RNA is filed under the name uncultured bacterium. RNAcentral describes it as "bacterial SSU rRNA". It matches the Rfam family "Bacterial small subunit ribosomal RNA", at positions 333 to 655 of the family's 1533-position model. The record is from RNAcentral.